RNAcentral lists this ribosomal RNA (381 nucleotides) under Gummiglobus agglutinosporus. RNAcentral's name for it is "SSU rRNA". It matches the Rfam family "Bacterial small subunit ribosomal RNA", at positions 535 to 962 of the family's 1533-position model. Lineage: Eukaryota; Fungi; Basidiomycota; Agaricomycetes; Hysterangiales; Mesophelliaceae. The record is from RNAcentral.
CUUGUGUUAAUCAUCCUGAUCAGGCAUAAAGGGUUUGUAGGCAGCUUUAAAAUAAUUAAAGAUUGAAUCAAAUAGAGGUCAAGAGAAUUCCUAGAUUAGGGUUGAUAUCUGAAAAAACUAGGAAGAAUUCUAAUUAGCAAAGGCACUUUUCUAUCUAAUGAUUGACACUGAGAAAUGAAGGGGAGGAUCAACAAUAGGAUUAGAUACCCUGGCAUCCCUCUCUUUAAACGAUGAAUGGUAGUUGCUAGUAAUAAUAAUUAGUGGCGAGGCUAAUACAUUAACCAUUCCACCUUGUGAGUACAACUGCAAAGUUGAAAACAAAAAAAUUAGUUGGUUUCUGAGCAAAUGAAGUKAAGCAUGUUAUUUAAUUCGAUAAUCCGC